Molecule: transfer RNA, 66 nt
Filed under: Cryptocercus zagunaoensis
Lineage: Eukaryota; Metazoa; Arthropoda; Insecta; Blattodea; Cryptocercidae
Description: tRNA-Leu
Rfam family: tRNA
About the family: Transfer RNA (tRNA) molecules are approximately 80 nucleotides in length. Their secondary structure includes four short double-helical elements and three loops (D, anti-codon, and T loops).
Source: RNAcentral
UUUAAUAUGGCAGAUAAGUGCAUUGGAUUUAAGACCCAAAUAUAAAGUCUAAAUCUUUUAUUAGAA